RNAcentral lists this ribosomal RNA (560 nucleotides) under uncultured bacterium. RNAcentral's name for it is "bacterial SSU rRNA". It matches the Rfam family "Bacterial small subunit ribosomal RNA", at positions 243 to 800 of the family's 1533-position model. The record is from RNAcentral.
AGCUAGUCGGCGGGGUAACGGCCCACCGAGGCGACGAUGUCUAGGGGUUCUGAGAGGAAGGUCCCCCACACUGGUACUGAGACACGGACCAGACUCCUACGGGAGGCAGCAGUGAGGAAUAUUGGUCAAUGGGCUUACGCCUGAACCAGCCAAGUCGCGUGAGGGAAGACUGCCCUAUGGGUUGUAAACCUCUUUUGUCAGGGAGCAACGCCGGCUACGUGUAGCCGGACUGAGAGUACCUGAAGAAAAAGCAUCGGCUAACUCCGUGCCAGCAGCCGCGGUAAUACGGAGGAUGCGAGCGUUAUCCGGAUUUAUUGGGUUUAAAGGGUGCGUAGGCGGAAUGCCAAGUCAGCGGUAAAAUCGCGGGGCUCAACCUCGCUCCGCCGUUGAAACUGGCGAUCUUGAGUGGGCGAGAAGUAUGCGGAAUGCGUGGUGUAGCGGUGAAAUGCAUAGAUAUCACGCAGAACUCCGAUUGCGAAGGCAGCAUACCGGCGCCCAACUGACGCUGAAGCACGAAAGCGUGGGUAUCGAACAGGAUUAGAUACCCUGGUAGUCCACGC